CAGUCGCCGCGGUAAUACGAAGGGGGCUAGCGUUGCUCGGAAUGACUGGGCGUAAAGGGCGCGUAGGCGGAUCACGCAGUCAGAUGUGAAAUUCCUGGGCUUAACCUGGGGGCUGCAUUUGAGACGCGUGGUCUAGAGUGUGAAAGAGGGACGUGGAAUUCCCAGUGUAGAGGUGAAAUUCGUAGAUAUUGGGAAGAACACCGGUGGCGAAGGCGGCGACCUGGUUCAUGACUGACGCUGAGGCGCGAAAGCGUGGGGAGCAAACAGGAUUAGAUACCCCCGUAGUCCCUGUCUCUUAUAC
RNAcentral lists this ribosomal RNA (301 nucleotides) under uncultured bacterium. Its description in RNAcentral is "partial 16S ribosomal RNA". It matches the Rfam family "Bacterial small subunit ribosomal RNA", at positions 509 to 807 of the family's 1533-position model. The record is from RNAcentral.